AGCUCUAUGAAUUAAAUCUUAUAAUAUCAAAAUCAAUCUAUACUUAACCAUUUCAAUUCUUUUCCUCUCAUUUCUUUUUCAAUACUUUACUUUACCAGUUCAACGUAUGGUAAGACAAUUAAGUAAGAUUGAUUUCCAUUUUUCCAAGUAAGUCUGUUUUGAUUUCCUUCAUCAGAGGGUAAAAUGCUUCCUUUCUUUCUCCAAGUAACACCUCAUGCUUAUUGCAUGCUACAACCACCUGCAAGCACUCCACGUCCCUAUUGCUGCAUGAUCAACACCUUGCUGCACGUUGCUUCUUCCACCACCAGCUUUUCAAGCCAUGACAAAGCAAGCCUAAUGUCUUAGCAUUCCACCUCCUCCUUACACAUGAUUAGGCGUGGCACUUGCUGAUGAUCCCUCCACUCCAAAGCUUGAAACUUUCACGUCUCUAUAUAUAUAUAUAUAGAUGCAACAAAAUGGUUCAAGGAUAAUACACACACAAAACAUUAAAAGUCAUAUUACUGACAAAAACACUAGUCGUGAGUGGAUGGGUUUUUAGUGAAAAUUCUUAAGUGUUGGUCUUGAGUGUGAGGAGAUUCUUGAGUCUUGGGGAGCGGAAGCUAGAAUCUAGAAGCAUAGCAUUUCUGAAUGCGAUUAAUUUUCUGAGAUUUGAAAGGUCACGAGGUUCGCAACUUCUAUGCACUACUACUCACGAAGAAAGCCAAAUGAGAUUGCCAAGGCACCAUGAAGGGGAAAAGAUACAAGUGGAGUGUCUUAGUAGCAGAGGAGUGGGCUAACAAAUAUACUUAAGGACCCAAAUUCAUCUGACUCGCUAGACAUGGUCCACAAAUGUAAUAUACUACAAUAUACUAACGGUAAAGCAACAAGAUGAGACUAAAACAGUAACUUAAAAGGAUAAGGAUUGACUAAGCAUAGCUAGUUAGUUCUAGUCCACUAGAGAAUUGACUAAAUUGGGAAUUGGAGCAAAUAACAUAGAAUUCUGCCACAUUCCGGGAAGAAGCUCCGCAAGCCAGUUAUUUUGUGAUCAUCACGACGAUUCUCACCAUCACCUCCAAGGCUCCAACAGCUAGUGGUUUUCAAGGCAUCACGAGAGGAAGGGGAGAAAUUCGAAAGGUGGCCUUGUGAAUUUUAUCUAAAUCCACAUGCUAUUAUUAGAUUUGAGUCCACUACCAAUAUCUGGGCUGUACAUAAACAACAUUUCACAUUUUGACCCAAAAAGAAAAAAGAAGGCUUCUGUGGGGUAAGAAUUACAGCUCAAGAAUAGUUGAGUUAUUUGUUGGAACAUGUUGCCAUGCAUUUUGUCUAAACAACCGAUUGUCGAAGCAGAUGCCGUGGCAUCUGACCUCGUGAAGCUAGGGCAUCAGUCCUCAGCUUGUGUUUAUGUUGUGGGCCCUCUGAAGAUUUACUGAAGAUAUGUUUUUGAGUUACUUGAGGAGCAAGUAGCUAUUCCAGAAGGGUUUAUUUGUUGGGUUGUUAUUUGUUGAAACAAUCUUUGUUAAAAGAUUGGUUUCUAUCUUUACUUGUGCAAUAAAAAACCGAAUCUAUCAAGAUUGCGUUUUGAAUUGCUGUUACUGCAAUCUGUUUCUUCAGCCCGUGCCAACCCUAAAGCCCAUGCUACCGUUGCUGAAGUCUAUAAAAGGAUGAAGACCUAAAACGUGAAGGCGUCGAAGCUGAUAGAGAGAGAUCGUGUGUUUUAGGAUCUGUUAAUUGUGCUUUGUCCUUUGUUAGUUGUGAAUCUGUCUUUGCUCACUGAUUCUAUAAAGCAAAGAGAGAUUCUGUGUUGUUUGAUUGCGUUCAAACUCUACUUGUUCAUUGUGUUUACCAAUCACUGUGGCAGUGAUUGAGAGAAAUUGAGAGGAGCUCUCAUACUUAGGUUGAGAUUCUAAGUAGAAAUACACUGGGUAGAUUAGGAAGUGAACUAUGAACUGAGUUGUUCAUGAGUGUCUGUAAUUCCUGAAUCUUGAGAUAAUGGAUUUCCUUUC
Molecule: long non-coding RNA, 1982 nt
Organism: Lotus japonicus
Lineage: Eukaryota; Viridiplantae; Streptophyta; Magnoliopsida; Fabales; Fabaceae
Exons: 3
Source: RefSeq, a predicted model, not a curated record